This is a non-coding RNA of Salmo salar (Atlantic salmon), 1023 nucleotides long. The record is from RefSeq and is a predicted model, not a curated record. Lineage: Eukaryota; Metazoa; Chordata; Actinopteri; Salmoniformes; Salmonidae.
CAGGUGUACCUGGAGUGACGGGGGAUGUUGGACUCAUGAGACCUCCUGGACUGGAUGGAAUGUCUGGAGCUACUGGACUGGAAGGAGAUAAUGGUGAGAAAGGAAAUCAAGGAAACAUGGGGAUGCCUGGUGCUCCGGGGUUACUUGGGAGACAAGGAGAGAAAGGUCUACUCCAGAAGCGAGAACGACAGCAUCUUCACCGGCUUCCUGCUCUAAGCCGAUCCCAAGGCCUGACCUAUGACUUCGUCUGUGAACCCGGCUUGACCACUGCAUGAGCUUUAUCUGACAACUUAUGCUGACUGGAUCACCUCCAAACUCUUUUCACUACUCUGAUAAAUGAUCUCUUUCAAUAUAGCUACUGCUACUAACUUUGUUCCUGCUUAUUGCUAUCAAAAUAAUCUGACCAAAUGCUUGCUGUAUUUUGAUGGUAAAGGCUGUAAAACUUUAUCCAGUGGUUCCCAAACUGUGGGAAGACAUUUUCAGUGGUUCCCGAACAGUGGAAAAACUUUUCAGUGUAAACUUAAAUGACUGACACCAAAUAGAAUGUAUGUAUAAAAGAUAAUGGACCUAUAUAUUUUUCAAUAAUCGCCUAUAAUCUUUGAGAAUUUACAAUCAGGCCCCCAUUGAUUUAGUUAAAAUGCUUGAGCAUAAGAACACCAGCCAUGUCAAAAUUUGGAAAUUCACUUAAACACAGAAAACAAAUUAUCUCAGCUCCGUGGCAAAAUGCAUAGAAUUGUAGGGAAUUGACUUUAAAAUUGCAAAAUGUUCUUUCAGCUCCAUGGCAGGAUGUGUGGAAUUGCAGGAGAUUAGCUUUGAAACUGCUACAUUUUCUUAUCUAGAUGCCAAGAUAAUAUUUGUUAAUUAUUCUUUGGUCUGUGUAUGUUGUUUUUUUUUAACAGCUCAACCUUUAUGUUGGGUCACGACUCAAAAGACACCUCAAUCGGUGGGUCAGUUUGGGAACCCCUGCUUUAUACAACGCUUACAGUUUCUAUCAAUGCAUUAAAACACUGCUAAUGCUUGAAA